CUAGAUUAAAAAGGAUAAUUUAUAGUGAGAACAUUGAAUUGAGAUUACAAACAAAGGUAAUGUUGACCUCAAAAAGUGUACUUCCAGAUGGCCAACAGAUCUCGAUACCUAUCACGUUCGAACAAGCCGUUUUCCUGCACAAUAGGACAAAUCGUUAGAGACGCGUGGCCUUCUCCGAUGGGGGUGGAGCCGGCCGCACGCACUCCGAGGGUUAAGUCAGUUGGGGAAGAUAUAUGUGAGUGUGGGAAGGCUUUUAACGUGAGCUUCCAAUAUAAAGGAGGUCGGAAUCGGGAGUAAAAAAUAUAGAGAGCAGAGUUAUAGUAUCAAAGUCUAAACUUGCAUUAUCUUGGAAUGACACCAAGUGUAAACUUUUAUAGUAGAAGAGGGUGAGUAAGAGCUAGCUUUUAUAGUAGAAGAGGGUGAGUAAAAGCUGUUAGAUAAAGAGACACGUGACCUCAUCUUGGCGGCUAGGGCCUCUUGGUAUAGGCAUCAAUCAGUCAGGCUUAGGCUCAAGUGCAUUUAAUGUUAUGACCAUUAGUAGUUCUAGGCUUGACAUGUAAGACUAGGCUUGACUUGCUGAUUGAAUUGGGCCACCCAUGCAGUGAGUUGUCACAUCACCCACUUACUAUAAGAUCUUGUACAAGGAUCUUCCUUAAGAUGCCUCUACCUUCCUCGCCUCGUUCAUGGGGGCUUGGCCCUUCAUUGGGGUCAUGGGGGUUCGGCCAUAUUGCUAGUAGAAUGAUGUGGAGUGUCGGCCUAAGUUCUCAUGCUAUGCAGCUGCAAUUUGUCAAUGCUUAGAGCCUUAUUGGAAGAGGUGUAGCAGGUAAUAAUAUCACACGAGGACAAACGAAAGGACAGUAAAAUAUGUUUAUCCAGAAAGAGAAAUAAAAAUAAAGAGAUGCCUGCCAAUGCCAUUGUACAAAAAUUCAGCAAAUCAGAAACAAAAGGUUGGGAUGGAGAGUGAAAUUUGAGGGAAGGAUGACGUUUUUUCUUUAAAGUGUAGCAAUAAAGAAUGAGAGAGAAAUAGAAAAAGGGUGCAACAAAAACCAUAAAAGUAUCAAGGAGUCACUUUCAAGAGAAAGCAUUUUGGAGGAUCUUUCCUUAUUCUUAGAAAAACAUUGUACUAAUAAAUUUUGAGUCGAGUUGAGUUACGAUGAGUUCUUGUUCACUGAUCCUUGUUCAAGGGUUCUUUUAGGACAGAGAAGUGUUAAGGCAAUUCUCUUUUCUCUACUGAGAUCAAGAAAACGGAAGUUUUGCAGGAAAUUUUGGGUGCUUGUAACUGGAAUGAUUGUCAGUUCUUUGCAGUACUUAGUAUAGAUUACUGUUAGAUUAAUCUAGUAUGAAAAGCUGUGUAAAGUGAGAAGAAUAAAUAUGGGUUAGGCUAAAUUUUUGCAUUGAUAAAAUUUGUAAGAUAAUGGUAGCAACUUUUGGCAUUCAGAUUUGUCAGUUGCAGUCUUGCGGAAAUAGCACAGCAAAAGAUUACCGUAAAUAAAAAGCUGGAACAGCAGGGAAAAAAGCACAAGAACAAGGUUCUGAGUCUGGAUCAUCCUCCUCAUCUUUAUAAUCAGAACCAGACCGAAAC
Molecule: long non-coding RNA, 1582 nt
Filed under: Olea europaea (common olive)
Lineage: Eukaryota; Viridiplantae; Streptophyta; Magnoliopsida; Lamiales; Oleaceae
Description: long non-coding RNA (OEUR_LNC007526)
Source: RNAcentral